RNAcentral lists this transfer RNA (60 nucleotides) under Cordylochernes scorpioides. Its description in RNAcentral is "tRNA-Thr". Lineage: Eukaryota; Metazoa; Arthropoda; Arachnida; Pseudoscorpiones; Chernetidae. The record is from RNAcentral.
UACAUCGGCCGGGAAACGAACCCGUGGCAGUCAAGCAUUCUACCACUGAACCACUGAUGC